GGGACUAAUGAUUCUGAGAACUGCCAUGGCCUGCCUCUAAACAGCUUCCUUACAUUGACCAGUUUCGAGAGUGCCUUUUCCAGGAACCAUUACAACGUGGGAGAUCCAGAUGCUUCUUAGAGUAUGACAGCUCCCAAUUCCUGUAUGUGGAAGGCUCAGAUCAAGGCUAUCUCUUCAGCAGAACCACUCAAGCCCUACCAAGAAUUCACUGAGUAUUCCCAAGGACCAUGUAUUUCCUCCUUUUUUUUUUUAUACCAAGACAGAAGGCCAGCUUCCUUCUUCCCAUCUCUUAUAUCUUCAUCCUCUUUGUUCUCCCUCCCAAAUGGAUGUUUACUCUGAAUAGAAGGCUAAUUGGUAAA
Molecule: non-coding RNA, 359 nt
Organism: Rattus norvegicus (Norway rat)
Lineage: Eukaryota; Metazoa; Chordata; Mammalia; Rodentia; Muridae
Source: RefSeq, a predicted model, not a curated record